This 668-nucleotide ribosomal RNA is filed under the name Pediculus humanus corporis (human body louse). RNAcentral describes it as "partial large subunit ribosomal RNA". The stretch from base 497 to 654 matches the Rfam family "Archaeal large subunit ribosomal RNA", at positions 1884 to 2089 of the family's 2987-position model. The record is from RNAcentral. Lineage: Eukaryota; Metazoa; Arthropoda; Insecta; Psocodea; Pediculidae.
UUAAGAACAUUAAUUAUAAAGUUAUACCCCGAAAGGUUUAUCUUUUAAAUCAUUAAAAAGUAAUUAUAAAUAAUGUACCUUUUGCAUCAGGGGUUAAGAAAUAAGAUUAUUAAAUUAAUAACCUCCCGAAAGAAGCAGGAUCUUAAACUUUAUUGUUGGUUGUUGUUUCAUUAACAUUAAUAAUAAUAUUUAAGAAGCUAAAAGUUAUGACGACUCUUCUGAUCACCUGGUUUGCUAUUUAGUGUUUUUUAAGAAGGCAGAGAGUUAAUUGAAGUUUAAGCACUUUAUUAUUUUCUUUUAAUUAUAAAGGGACAAGCUUUUAUAACUUUAGGAAGAUCAAUUUAUAGCUUAUCUUCAUGACAAGAUAGACGUUAUUUAUCUAUUUAUAGAUCUACCUUUAGAAUAGCAUCUUUAGUGAAAUAAUUUUUAACUAUAAAAAUAAUCUUAACAUUAGUACUUCAAUAAAUCAAUUAUUAAAAGGAACUAGGCAAACAUUUAGCCGGACUGUUUAAUAAAAACAUUUCCUCUUGCAUAAAAGGGAGGUAAAGUCUGCUCGGUGUAAUUGAUUAACAGCUGCAGUAACUUGACUGUACAAAGGUAGCGUAAUCACUUGUCUUUUAAUUGAAGACUAGAAUGAACGGCUUAACCAAGCUAAUUCUGUCUCUUUU